This 1674-nucleotide unclassified non-coding RNA is filed under the name Leishmania donovani. RNAcentral describes it as "gene:LdHU3.21.2420(CDS-product:hypothetical_prote in_conserved)". The record is from RNAcentral. Lineage: Eukaryota; Euglenozoa; Kinetoplastea; Trypanosomatida; Trypanosomatidae.
CGACUGCCUGCAACAUUUCCAGAGCCAGGCCUCUUUCUCUCUUUUUGUGCUCUUCACAGCGAUGGACGCAGACGAUCUUCGCCAGCUGGCGAUCAACGUGUCGUUGGACGACAUCGCGGCAUCGAGCGAUGCAACGAAACGGCUGCAGCAGCUUUUGACGCCGCAGCAGAUUGUCGCCAUGCUGAAGGAUGCGUCAGCAACUCACGCGCUACGUGCACUUGUAGGGGAAAUGGAGGCGGUCGGUAACGCAGACGUCUUUCACCUUAUCGGGCGAGCGCUAGAGGACGUGUUCACACAACCGUCGAGAGAGAGCAAAGCCGUCCUGCUUGCCCCUGCUGCUCAGUUCCUCGUGGAGUUUAUCGUGCGGUCCGCCGCGGCUGCUGACACUGCCGUCGCUUCAAGCAUGUCAAAGACGCUGUAUCGACUCAUCGCCAUUGCGGGUGACAGCACCGAGGCGGCUGCGUUUCUCGGGCCUUGCCUGGACGCCAACUUUCACAACGAGCAGGUGCUUCGACUCUUUGAUUGCGAUGCGGCCGAGUCAGCGGAAAACAAAACAGUGUGCGGCUUUCUGGAGCAGUGGACGUCUCUGCUUCCUUUCAUGUUUGAGGCCACACUGAACGCAUUCGAGAAUGAUCCGCUGCUGCAAGCCAACUAUACCAUAGCCAGUGGGGUGGCGUGUCGCACGGUCGCCGUGCCAUCGGCGCUGCGGCAGCGCACGAUGGAAAUCCUGCGCGCGAACGACGAUUCCUUGUGCUUCGCGUAUGUGUGCCGCUUUUGGAGCAUUGCGCUGAUCCAUCACGAGGCGAACGGGCAACGUGACGCCGCCGCCUGUGUGUCUACCGUGAUACCAGCCGUGGAGGCGAGCGAGAGGGAUGAAGGAGCCACUGAGGCCAUCUUCGACCUUCUCGGCUCCGCGGCGUCGACGCAAGCAGGCUGGGACGCUGUCACAGGGCAGCUGCCGUGCAAAACACUGCAGGUGAGACUCUCCAGCACUUCGCCCUCCCUGCGGCUGUCCACGCUGAAUCUGAUGCUGUCCAUGUUGACCUCACCGCACAUGAAUGUGUCGUUCUUCACAAAAGACUUGUUGCUGGACGCGUGGCAGACGCGCACCUCCCCCGAUGACAUGGUGCGCCUCGCUCUCUGGCGGGUAGCGAACGCGGCCCUUCUGCAGGAGAGUUUGAAUCGAAUGCUGGGUGCCGUGUGCGCGUCCUUCUUGAGCAGCGGUGUCCACGAAGAGAACGUCGCCGUGCGGUCACUGAAACUGACGGCGGCCGAGCGUCUUUUGCGCCACUCCACACUUCCCGAAAACGUCAAAGCCCGCCUUUUGCAGGUUGUCGAGCGCGGCCUCUACCCUGCGGGCUCCAGCGGCGUAUCUCUCAUGACGAAGGACUGAGCCGUCCGCCGACGUGGGCAGGACAGCCGCUUGCCCGUCAUGCUGGACAGCACCUCGCAACUCCAUCCCCCUUCUCCGGUGUGUGUGUGUGUGCUGUUGUGUGCACACUCGCUCUUUGUGCCCCCCCCCCCUCUCCAUCUCUGCACCUGCCCCCGCUCUCCCCCAGCGCGAUGGAGUGCACAUACGCGCUUAGCAGGAGGAGAUCCAACGUCCACUUCUUCCCGCGUGCCGUAGUAUGCGACGUGUUAUAUCCGAUGGCACAGGUGCACACGCCCUCGCAC